RNAcentral lists this ribosomal RNA (533 nucleotides) under Labiobaetis tricolor. RNAcentral's name for it is "SSU rRNA". It matches the Rfam family "Eukaryotic small subunit ribosomal RNA", at positions 620 to 1119 of the family's 1831-position model. Lineage: Eukaryota; Metazoa; Arthropoda; Insecta; Ephemeroptera; Baetidae. The record is from RNAcentral.
UAAAAAGCUCGUAGUUGGAUCUGUGUAUCGGACGGCCGGUUCGCUGCCCGCAGCGUUUAACUGGUCGGUCCGGACGUCCUGCCGGUGGGCGUCCGCGCAAGCGGGCGCCCUAACAUCCCUCCGGGCUGCUCUUAACCGGGUCGCCCGGUGGGCCGGCACGUUUACUUUGAACAAAUUUGAGUGCUCAAAGCAGGCCUUUGGUUGCCUGAAAACUGUGUGCAUGGAAUAAUGGAAUAGGGCCUCGGUUCUAUUUUGUUGGCUUUUCUGAACUUGAGGUAAUGAUUAAUAGGGACAGACGGGGGCAUUCGUAUUGCGACGUUAGAGGUGAAAUUCUUGGAUCGUCGCAAGACGAACGGAUGCGAAAGCGUUUGCCAAGAAUGUUUUCGCUAAUCAAGAACGAAAGUUAGAGGUUCGAAGGCGAUCAGAUACCGCCCUAGUUCUAACCAUAAACGAUGCCAGCCAGCGAUGCGCCGAAGUUCCUCCGAUGACUCGGCGCGCAGCCUCAAGGAAACCAAAGCUUUUGGGUUCCGGGG